This 693-nucleotide ribosomal RNA is filed under the name Triticum aestivum (bread wheat). Its description in RNAcentral is "partial small subunit ribosomal RNA". The record is from RNAcentral. Lineage: Eukaryota; Viridiplantae; Streptophyta; Magnoliopsida; Poales; Poaceae.
AUGGAAUGCCCUGUCCGGUGUAAGCUAAACAUAGAUGGAGCACAGUGGGUGGUCACUGAAUAUUUUGACGAUCACAACCACAAACUCAUAAAUAAGUUCGACCUGGUCAAAUUUCUGACCGCCCAUAGACGAUUCACCCCCCUCGAGAAGAAAUUCAUAAAGCUGCUACAUGAUUGUAACGUCAGUCCAUCAAGAAUUGUCCAGAUACUAUCAAUCAUCCACAGCAAAAACGGGACUCUGAGUAGCAUGCCCUACAUACCAGCUGACGUCACAAACCUAAAGGAAAAGUACCGUAGAGAGAGCAAGUUGGCUGACAUAGAGGCCAUGAUGGCCUACUUCGAUGAGAAAGCGAAGAAAGAUCCAGAUUUCUUCUACAAGAUAAGAUUGGACGAUGAGGACCAUGUCAGGAACAUGUAUUGGGUGGAUGGUGCUGCAAGAAGAGCCUACAAACAUUUCCGAGAUUACAUUUCAUUCGGCAUGACAUAUCUCACUAAUAUGUACAAGAUGCCAUGCGCUCCAUUCAUUGGAAUAAAUAACCACAAUCAAUCAUUGCAGUUUGGAUGCGGUCUCGUUCGGAAUGAAGACACGGAUGGGUACACUUGGCUGUUCAAGACCUUCUUGGAGUGCAUGGAUGGACUUGCUCCGAUGAACAUAAUAAUAGACAAGGAUUUUAGCAUGCGUGCAGGCAUAUAG